CGUAGGUGGCAAGCGAUACUCGGAAUCACUAGGCGUAAAGCGCAGGUAGGCGGUUCGGUAAGUCUUUUGUGAAAGCUCCUGGCUCAACUGGGAGAGGUCAAGGGAAACUGCCGGGCUAGAGUUUGGUAGGGGAUACUGGAAUUCCUGGUGUAGCGGUGAAAUGCGUAGAUAUCAGGAGGAAUACCUAUGGCGAAAGCAGGUAUCUGGGCCACAACUGACGCUGAGCUGCGAAAGCUAGGGGAGCAAACAGGAUUAGAUACCCUGGUAGUCCUAGCCCUAAACGAUGCUCAUUAGAUGUGGGGGGUAUCGACCCCCUCCGCGUCGUAGCUAACGCAUUAAAUGAGCCGCCUGGGGAGUACGGCCGCAAGGUUG
Molecule: ribosomal RNA, 372 nt
Filed under: uncultured organism
Description: bacterial SSU rRNA
Rfam family: Bacterial small subunit ribosomal RNA
Source: RNAcentral